GUGAGGAGAACUAGGGGGAGAGAUCCUGCCUUCCAAGCAGGUCACACGGGUUCGAUUCCCGUCUCCCGCUCCA
Molecule: transfer RNA, 73 nt
Filed under: Chloroflexi bacterium RBG_13_60_13
Lineage: Bacteria; Bacillati; Chloroflexota
Description: tRNA-Gly
Rfam family: tRNA (bases 14-70)
About the family: Transfer RNA (tRNA) molecules are approximately 80 nucleotides in length. Their secondary structure includes four short double-helical elements and three loops (D, anti-codon, and T loops).
Source: RNAcentral